AGAUGCAAAAAAAUCAUUUAAUAAAAUUUAACAUUCCUUCAAAAAACUAGGCAUAGAAGAAACAUAUCUUAAUAUAAUAAAGGCCAUAAAUGACAAACCCACAGCUAACAUCAUAUUGAAUGGGAAAAUUCUGAAACCUUUUCCGCUUGAAAAUAAAUCCAUUCUCCCCUGGAUGACAUUUAGGCUGUUUCCACUUCACUGAUUAUUCUUACAUGUGAUUGAGGUAACCAAGCUUAUGUAUUACAGGAAAAGCAAGAAUAAAUACAGUGUACAUUUUUUCAGGUAUGGGUCUAAAUUACAUCUGGGGAUCAAAAAAUGAAUAAAACACAGUCCUCACUCAUAAGGAAUUCAAGCCUAGUUGAGGGACAUUGGUGUGUAAAUAACAAGUGCUAUUCUCUACUGGGAAAAGCUCAGGGUCUACAGUCAUACAGAUCUGAAAUUGAAUCCAGCUUUGUGGCUUAUGAUCUGGGAGACCUUAAGCAAGUUACUUAGCCUCUACUAGGCUUUAGUUUUCUCAUUUAAAAACCAGUGUACCUCCCUCUGAGGUACUGUGAGGAGUAAAGGGGAUAAUGCCUAGAAGGGACUUAGUACUUCUCCAGGUAUUAGUAUGUAAGAUUACCUUAUUAUACAAGCUGCAAAUACAUAGGUACUAUCAGAAAUAUAAGCAAUGUGCCAUGAAAGCAAUUUAUUCAGUCUAAUGAUUAGACCUCUGCUCUGAACUACACAUGCCCUUUAUAAAACCAGCACAGAUCAAGUGUGUUUUAUGAGUUAUGUUUUAGACAUUUUGGAGCAAUAAUCAUAAGGUUAUUACUAUUUCAGAUCAAAGUGCAAAGGCUAUGCAAGGGGUAGCCAUUUCUCUGAAAUUGCCAUCUCCAGGACUGAUUCAGGAAAAAAUACAAAUCUAUUAUCUGCUUUGCUAAAAGAAAAUUGUCUAAUGAAAGUAAAUCACCAGGAAACCCAAUUUACUCUACAGUGAAAUUUGGCUUAAAAUUAAUCUUUCUUAUACCUAGGCAAAGAGUUUUCUGGCAAAACUACAUGGUUUCUUGAAGAAAUAGAUUCACCUAGAAGUCAGCAUGGACCCCAAAGACAGAGUUAUUUUAUACCUGUGUCAUCUUGAACUAUCAUGCAAUGACUUUUUAAAAAUAAACUUUUAGAGCAGUUUUAGAUUUACAGAAAAAUUGCAAAGAAAGAAAAUUCUUGAAUACCCCCCACCCAGUUUUCCCUAAUGUUAACAUCUUACAUUAGGAUGGUGUUAAUCGCCAUCCUAAAGAAACAGGAUGAAUCCCUGCCCAAAAUUUGAUUUGGAUGUCAAGACCAAUGAUGUCACACACGCACACACACACACACACACACACACACACACACACACCCCAAGAGGUUAUGAAAAUCUUUUCUAUAAUGGGAUGUUUUUGAAAAGAGCAAGGGAGCCUUCCCAAAAUGGUUCCAAAUGGCUUAAAUAGCCAGAAAAGGAGACAGGCUUGAGAUUUUUUUAACUGAUACAUAAUAAUUGUAUAUGUAUAUGAAAUACAUCUGACAUUUCAAUUCAUGUCUAUGAUGUGUAAUAAUCAAAUAAGAGCAAUUGACAUAAUCAUCACCUCAAAUAUUUAUCAUGUCUUUGUGCUGAGAACAUUCAAAAUCCUCUCUUCUAGCUAUAUUAAAAUAUAAAAUAAAUUUUGGUUAACUAUAGUCACCCUCCUAUGCUACAGAACAUUAUAACUUAUCUAACUAUAAUUUUGUACCCAUUAACCAACUUCUUCCCAUCCUUUCCCCCUACCCUUCCCAGCCUCUGGUGACCACUAUUCUACUCUCUACUUCUAUGGGAUCUACUUCUUUAGCUCUAAUAUAUGAGUGACAACAUGUGAUACUUAUCGUCUGUGCUGGCCUAUUUCAAUUAACAUAAUGUCCUCCAGGCUCAUUCAUGCUAUUGCAAAUGACAGAAUUUCAUUCUUUUUAUAGCUAAAUAAUAUUUCAUUAUGUAUAUGUACUAGAUUUUUAAAAUUCAUUUACCUGUCGAUGGACAGUUAGAUUGUUUCCAUAUCUGGGCUAUUGUGAGUAGUUCCGCAGUAGCCACAAAUAAAGAUCCUGCACAAAGCCUUAGUGCUCUGAAAACAUCCAUAAAUAAAACCAAUUGACUCUACUCAAAUUACACCGCCGUUAAGGGCACAUCAAUCUUCCUAGAUAAGAAAGAAAAAGCACAAGAACUUUGGCAAUUCAAAAACGCAGAGUGUCUCCUUACCCCUUAUGACCACAAUAGCUCCCCAGCAGUGGUUUCUAGCCAAACAAAAAUGGCUAAAAAGACAGACAAGAACUCAAAAUCUCAAUGAAGUUCAUCAAGAUUCAGGAGAAAGUUGAAACCCGAUUUAA
RNAcentral lists this long non-coding RNA (2364 nucleotides) under Homo sapiens (human). Its description in RNAcentral is "non-protein coding lnc-RPP30-10:1". The record is from RNAcentral. Lineage: Eukaryota; Metazoa; Chordata; Mammalia; Primates; Hominidae.